Molecule: ribosomal RNA, 262 nt
Filed under: uncultured bacterium
Lineage: Bacteria
Description: partial 16S ribosomal RNA
Rfam family: Bacterial small subunit ribosomal RNA
Source: RNAcentral
UACAGAGGGUGCAAGCGUUAAUCGGAGUUACUGGGCGUAAAGGGCGCGUAGGCGGUUAUUUAAGUUUGAUGUGAAAUCCCUGGGCUUAACCUAGGAACUGCAUUGAAUACUGGGUAACUGGAGUACUGUAGAGGGUAGUGGAAUUUCCGGUGUAGCGGUGAAAUGCGUAGAGAUCGGAAGGAACACCAGUGGCGAAGGCGGCUACCUGGACAGAUACUGACGCUGAGGCGCGAGAGCGUGGGGAGCAAACGAGGAUUGAUAA